Molecule: ribosomal RNA, 254 nt
Filed under: uncultured bacterium
Lineage: Bacteria
Description: partial 16S ribosomal RNA
Rfam family: Bacterial small subunit ribosomal RNA
Source: RNAcentral
UACGUAGGGGGCAAGCGUUGUUCGGAAUUACUGGGCGUAAAGGGCGCGUAGGCGGCGCGGUAAGUCACUUGUGAAAUCUCUGAGCUUAACUCAGAACGGCCAAGUGAUACUGCAGUGCUAGAGUGCAGAAAGGGCAAUCGGAAUUCUUGGUGUAGCGGUGAAAUGCGUAGAUAUCAAGAGGAACACCUGAGGCGAAGGCGGGUUGCUAGGCUGACACUGACGCUGAGUGCGCGAAAGCCAGGGGAGCAAACGGG